Molecule: ribosomal RNA, 253 nt
Filed under: uncultured bacterium
Lineage: Bacteria
Description: partial 16S ribosomal RNA
Rfam family: Bacterial small subunit ribosomal RNA
Source: RNAcentral
UACGGAGGGUGCAAGCGUUAUCCGGAUUCACUGGGUUUAAAGGGUGCGUAGGUGGGUCGGUAAGUCAGUGGUGAAAUCUCCGAGCUUAACUUGGAAACUGCCAUUGAUACUAUCAGUCUUGAAUACCGUGGAGGUCAGCGGAAUAUGUCAUGUAGCGGUGAAAUGCUUAGAUAUGACGUAGAACACCAAUUGCGAAGGCAGCUGACUACGCGAAUAUUGACGCUGAUGCACGAAAGCGUGGGGAUCAAACAGG